AAGUCGUAACAAGGUUUCCGUAGGUGAACCUGCGGAAGGAUCAUUAACACGUAUCCAACGUUAAACCCCCCUGUGAAUUUUAUCGCAGCUCUUGCAGACGCCGGUAAGUUUGCAAUCCCUGGUAAAUCAUUGUUGAACAGAUUUUGAUUCAGGGACCUCUAACACCGGUGGAUGCAAUUCGAGCGCUUGUGCAAGUGGCCUGGUUUCCCCAAGCUGCCAGUGUCUGAAAGUGUCGCUGGUUGUGUAAGGAAAACGCUUUACGAUCACUGGAGGCCAACACGGCCGGUUACCCCACUACCUGAACUUGGGUCGCAGGAAACUGCUUCCCCUUAAAUCCGAACAACUGUUAACAAUGGAUAUCUUGGUUCUC
RNAcentral lists this unclassified non-coding RNA (370 nucleotides) under fungal sp. RNAcentral's name for it is "partial internal transcribed spacer region". The stretch from base 1 to 46 matches the Rfam family "Eukaryotic small subunit ribosomal RNA", at positions 1786 to 1831 of the family's 1831-position model. Lineage: Eukaryota; Fungi. The record is from RNAcentral.